CCAAAUUUAAUACUAUAAUAUGAAAAAAAAAAUAUUUUCUAAGAAUAGAAUCCAAAAUUAAUUUAAAUUAAAAAUUCCAAAAACUAAAAGACUAUGUUUCUUUAAAACAAACGCAACCUGCCCUAGUCUCAAAUACGAAUAUUGCUGCUCUGCCUCCCUCUAUCAAUCUAUCAGAAUUUGGUUUUUUUCAAAGCAAUACAAAUUGAUUUGUGAAUCAAAAAUCUGCCCUAAUUUUCAACCUUUGUUUGCGCAUCCAGGUACGCCUCCUCUACUGAGUUGCUCCUUUUCUUCUUUUUCAACCUUGCUUUCUGAGUUGCUCGUUUGGAUAUUGAUUUACAGCUUUGCUAUAUUCGACUUCUUCUUCUUCUUCUUCUCUAAUAUUAAACCUGUAAAAGAGCGAUACUGAAAUAUGUUAGAAGUAUUUUGUUCUGAGGUUUUACCGAAUAUGUUGAAGUAUUCAAGAAUGAGAUCCAUAAAUUUGCAAACUUUUGAGCAAAUACACUUACUAAGUAGUGGUGUGUAUUAAAUAAUAGCAAAAGAGCGAUACUGAAUAUAUAUGAGUGCCUGCUUAUUAGCUCUCUACUUUACAG
RNAcentral lists this long non-coding RNA (590 nucleotides) under Nicotiana benthamiana. Its description in RNAcentral is "long non-coding RNA (NBEN_LNC031073)". The record is from RNAcentral. Lineage: Eukaryota; Viridiplantae; Streptophyta; Magnoliopsida; Solanales; Solanaceae.